Molecule: long non-coding RNA, 390 nt
Organism: Mastomys coucha (southern multimammate mouse)
Lineage: Eukaryota; Metazoa; Chordata; Mammalia; Rodentia; Muridae
Exons: 2
Source: RefSeq, a predicted model, not a curated record
GUCCACCUUCCUGGCUCAUGCCAGAGACUUCCUAUGCCUUCUUUAAGUAAAGAUACUGGAAUGCUGGGCAUGGCAUAUAAUGACAGGAUCUGCCUGCAGUAGGCCAGGAUGGAGACAUCUCAGAAGCCCACAGCAGCUCCUUGUAGAAAAGAAUGGUGUCUGGGACCCUGAGAAGCAGGAGACCCAUCUCUCCAGGGGAUCCGCCAUCUGAAAUAAGGGACUGCCUGCAGUCAGCCUGGAUGGAGACAUCUCAGUAGCCCAUGGCAGCUCUUUUUGUAAAAAACAGUUAUUCCCAUUUCUUCUAACUGUAGCCCUGGACAAUGGCUGUAUAGAUUUCAUUUGUGUGUGACUGUUUAUCAGUUGGCCUUGGUAUGCAUAAUUAUUCUAGUA